This 86-nucleotide transfer RNA is filed under the name Clostridiaceae bacterium. RNAcentral's name for it is "tRNA-Leu". It matches the Rfam family "tRNA". Rfam says of the family: Transfer RNA (tRNA) molecules are approximately 80 nucleotides in length. Their secondary structure includes four short double-helical elements and three loops (D, anti-codon, and T loops). Lineage: Bacteria; Bacillati; Bacillota; Clostridia; Eubacteriales; Clostridiaceae. The record is from RNAcentral. RNAcentral also lists the same sequence under 6 other names.
GCGGGUGUGGCGGAAUUGGCAGACGCGCCAGAUUUAGGUUCUGGUGCCCGAAAGGCGUAUGGGUUCAAGUCCCUUCGCCCGCACCA